UCAGCUUUCGUUAUUACUACAGUAGUAAACCACUGAACCCAAAACUGUGUUAUGUACCCACAGAAAUGACCUAAUUAAUACGCUCCACCAGCCUCCCAAAAAUCAAACGCCAGCGCUAUAUAAAUUCAUGUAUCUGGACCAGUAAUUCUCAGCACAACACUCUGUGCCUAGAUGAUGAAGAGCACGGUUUCCAUGGCAGAUAGUGAGCAAGGAGUAGAUGAUGAAGAUGAAAGAGUUGUUGUGAGUCCAUUGAUCUCAUCAUUAUCGAAUUAGCAAUUUACCAGAAAUUUUGACGGGCUCUUGUCUCUCACCGGAACACCAGCUUCUUGAGACCCAUGUUUGUCCGCUGAACCAGUCACCAUGGGAUGUUAUAAACUUCCCAACCUGAUUCAUCACCAACCUGAUUCAUCAUCAACGUCUCCAUACCAGGUAUGAAUUCUUGGAUUGCACGGCAAGGACUAAUCUUGACAUUCUUCCAAAGAAUUACUACCGAACAACUAGUGCUUGGAUGAUAUUCUUCGUUCUUGAAAGUGAGCUGAUAUUUAUAUGUACAAUGAAUUCAUGGAUAAUCUGGGGAGAAACAGCGAGCAGCGGUGGCUAAAUUGGAUGAAAAACGACUUUGUUUCUUGUACAUCUAUCAUAAUUCUCUGGUGUUGCAUUGAUGUGGGAGCACCCUCAGUCUGAAACUUUAUAUGGAACAUCACAAAAGUAUGCUUCACAGAAUAAUCAGGUAUCUUCUGAGCAAUUACCAUCACAGUUUGGUAAAGUGCAACAAUUGCAGCAGCAUAUGUCAAAUGUGCCUACAGCACCUCAAAAAGAGGUUCAGAUAGACAAUCAAGGGAACCAACUUCCCCAACUACUGGCUGUUCUCUCUCAUGGGAACACCAGCUUCUUGAGACCCAUGUGUGUCUGCUGAACCAGUCACCAUGGGAUGUUAUAAACUUCCCACCUGAUUCAUCAUCAAUGUCUCCAUACCAGAUUCCCCUUGCGCCUUUGCUACUCAAAUAGAAAAGGAAGAGGUGGAUUCGUGGGUGCCUAUGCUACUCAAGCAGAAAAGGGAAAGGUGGAUUCGCGGUCAAUAUAUGUUGGUAAUGCAUGAAUUCUUGGAUUGCACGGCAAGGACUAGUCUAGAUAUUCUUCCAAAGAAUUACUAUGGAGCAACUAGUGCUUGGAUGAUAAUCUUCGUUCUUGAAAGUGAGCUGAUAUUUAUAUGUACAAUGAAUUCAUGGAUAAUCUGGGGAGAAACAGUGAGCAGCGGUGGCUAAAUUGGAUGAAAAAAACGACUAUGUUUCUUGUACAUCCUUCAUAAUUAUCCGGUGUUGCAUUGAGGUGGGAGCACCCUCAGUCUGAAAAGUUAUAUGGAACGUCACAAAAAUAUGCUUCACAGAAUAAUCAGGUAUCUUCUGAGCAAUUACCAUCACAGUUUGGUGAAGUGCAUCAAUUGCAGCAGCUGCCGCAGCAUUUGUCAAAUGUGCCUACAGCACCUCAAAAAGAGCUUCAGAUAGACAAUCAAGGGAACCGACAUCCCAAAAGUACUGGUACAUUAGAGGAAGCAGAUGUAGAUCAACAUUAAAGCCUACAAGCAACUUUACAACUACAGCUGCUCUCCUAAAGCAAAUUUAACAAGGAAGAAAACCUAACCAGCAACAGGUAUGAAGGGCUACGAAAAUGAGAUUGGAUAGAGUAUGCAUGAGGAAAUCUGUUUAUGACAAAAGUAACGUGAGUGGUUGAUGAAAAAUUUGUCUCUAUCCAGUUGCGGAUAAAUAAUAGUAUGUUGUUGGUUUCGCUUUCCACUUUUGCAGAUUAUACCGAACUGAAGCUUUCAUUCAAGUGGUGGAAAGUUAGAUCUCUUUAUGAAAUGAUUUGGUUUAGUUAAUGAAUGGUAAUUUGGCCAGUGAUACUUGUUAUGGUUCAUUCUGUUACGCGUUUGUAGCCUGUUCUGAAUAGCUAGCCAUGGUAUAAAUUUAUGACUUGGGAUAGAGGGAUUGAACCAUGCUAUACGAGUCCAUGUCUUUGGAGAAGGUGGAGGAGAUAAAGCUUGGAGGGUGUGAGCCAGUGAAAACGUUUUAUUUGGAGAAGGGAUUCAUGCUAUCUGAUCAUCUAUGUGGAUUGAAGACUGUUAAUGGUGUUUAAAUCAGGCAGAAGUCUGAGUAGUGGAGAGGGGAAACUACACGAACCAUUAGUGAUAAAAGUACUAACACAUGCAUUAAACUCAUCUUUAUGCUACGAACACGUUGUAUCCGUUUAUUUUUUUUGUUACCUUUUGACCGCUUGUUCAUCUACAUCCCCGACAUUUGGUAAAUUUAGUUGAAAGGCUUUAGUUGACAGUGGAGGGAAUUUGCUGUAUUUUUCCUUUUGAGAUUUUUUUGCUUUUUUAAACUAAUUUAAUUAUAAGGGG
Molecule: long non-coding RNA, 2398 nt
Organism: Cornus florida
Lineage: Eukaryota; Viridiplantae; Streptophyta; Magnoliopsida; Cornales; Cornaceae
Exons: 6
Source: RefSeq, a predicted model, not a curated record